RNAcentral lists this small RNA (166 nucleotides) under uncultured Blautia sp. Its description in RNAcentral is "Clostridiales-1 RNA". It matches the Rfam family "Clostridiales-1 RNA". Lineage: Bacteria; Bacillati; Bacillota; Clostridia; Lachnospirales; Lachnospiraceae. The record is from RNAcentral.
GAUACCAGGAUCAAAAGGUCUAAAUCCACAUGAGCUUGCUCAUAAGUGGAUAAAAGACCUUGGGACCCGCUCCGAUAUGAGCAUAAAAGUGGGAUGCUAAUCCCGCGAUAUGCGAAUGAAGGGCAGAAUUGUGAGAGUGCAUUGCACGAAACAAUUCGUAGGUAUC